RNAcentral lists this ribosomal RNA (300 nucleotides) under uncultured bacterium. Its description in RNAcentral is "bacterial SSU rRNA". It matches the Rfam family "Bacterial small subunit ribosomal RNA", at positions 115 to 417 of the family's 1533-position model. The record is from RNAcentral.
GCGUACACAACCUACCUUAAAGUGAGGGACAGGCCUGGGAAACUGGGAUUAAUACCUCAUAGCAUCUCGAAAAUGCCUAUUUUGAGAUUAAAGAUUUAUUGCUUUUAGAUGGGUGUGCGUGCCAUUAGAUAGUUGGUGAGGUAACGGCUCACCAAGUCUACGAUGGCUAGGGGGCGUGAGAGCGUGGUCCCCCACACGGGUACUGAGACACGGACCCGACUCCUACGGGAGGCAGCAGUAAGGAAUAUUGGACAAUGGCGCAAGCCUGAUCCAGCCAUCCCGCGUGCAGGAUGACGGCUC